RNAcentral lists this ribosomal RNA (515 nucleotides) under Stolotermes ruficeps. Its description in RNAcentral is "partial 16S ribosomal RNA". It matches the Rfam family "Bacterial large subunit ribosomal RNA", at positions 1827 to 2600 of the family's 2925-position model. Lineage: Eukaryota; Metazoa; Arthropoda; Insecta; Blattodea; Termopsidae. The record is from RNAcentral.
CUCCUCUUGUUUUGUUUUUUGGAGGUAGGACCUGCCCACUGAAGUUUUGAAGGGCCGCGGUAUUUUGACCGUGCAAAGGUAGCAUAAUCAUUAGUCUUUUAAUUGUGGGCUGGUAUGAAUGGUUUGACGAGGCACAAUCUGUCUUGGGUUAAUAUUUUAUUGAAUUUGGGUUUUAGAUAAAAAUAUCUAAAUUUUUUUAUGGGACGAGAAGACCCUAUAGAGUUUUAUAUUAGUCCUUUUUUAUUUGUUUGUUUUUGUUAUUUUUAGUUGGGGUUUUAUUUUGUUGGGGUGACAUGAAGAUUUAUUUAACUCUUCUUUUGGUUUGUUUAUAUACAUUAAUAGUUUGCUGAUCCUUUAUUAUUGAUUUUAAGAUUAAAUUACCUUAGGGAUAACAGCGUAAUCUUUCUUGAAAGUUCUUAUUGACAGGGGGGUUUGCGACCUCGAUGUUGGAUUAGGGUGAAUUUUUGGUGUAGAGGCUUAAGAAAUUAGGUCUGUUCGACCUUUAAAACCUUACA